Molecule: ribosomal RNA, 912 nt
Filed under: Microsporum canis
Lineage: Eukaryota; Fungi; Ascomycota; Eurotiomycetes; Onygenales; Arthrodermataceae
Description: LSU rRNA
Rfam family: Eukaryotic large subunit ribosomal RNA
Source: RNAcentral
GCAUAUCAAUAAGCGGAGGAAAAGAAACCAACAGGGAUUGCCCCAGUAACGGCGAGUGAAGCGGCAAGAGCUCAAAUUUGAAAUCUGGCCUCCCUUGGGGGGUCCGAGUUGUAAUUUGUAGAGGAUGCUUCGGGUGUGGCCGCCGUCUAAGUUCCUUGGAACAGGACGUCGUAGAGGGUGAGAAUCCCGUCUUGGGCGGCCGGUCCGCGCCCGUGUGAAGCUCCUUCGACGAGUCGAGUUGUUUGGGAAUGCAGCUCUAAGCGGGUGGUAAAUUUCAUCUAAAGCUAAAUACUGGCCGGAGACCGAUAGCGCACAAGUAGAGUGAUCGAAAGGUUAAAAGCACCUUGAAAAGGGAGUUAAACAGCACGUGAAAUUGUUGAAAGGGAAGCGCUUGCGGCCAGACUCGAGGGGCGGGGUUCAGCGGGUGCGCGUCACCCGUGCACUCCCCGUCCCCCCGGGCCAGCAUCAGUUUCGACGGCCGGUCAAAGGCCCCCGGAAUGUGUCGUCUCUAGGGACGUCUUAUAGCCGGGGGUGCAAUGCGGCCCGCCGGGACUGAGGAACGCGCUCCGGCUCGGAUGCUGGCGUAAUGGCCGUAAGCGGCCCGUCUUGAAACACGGACCAAGGAGUCUAACAUCCACGCGAGUGUUCGGGUGUCAAACCCGUGCGCGCAGUGAAAGCGAACGGAGGUGGGAGCCCUAGGGCGCACCAUCGACCGAUCCUGAAGUCUUCGGAUGGAUUUGAGUAGGAGCGUGGCCGUUGGGACCCGAAAGAUGGUGAACUAUGCCUGAAUAGGGUGAAGCCAGAGGAAACUCUGGUGGAGGCUCGCAGCGGUUCUGACGUGCAAAUCGAUCGUCAAAUUUGGGCAUAGGGGGCGAAAGACUAAUCGAAACCAUCUAGUAGCUGGUUCUGCGA